GAUGAACGCUGGCGGCGUGCCUAAUACAUGCAAGUCGAGCGAAUGGAUUAAGAGCUUGCUCUUAUGAAGUUAGCGGCGGACGGGUGAGUAACACGUGGGUAACCUGCCCAUAAGACUGGGAUAACUCCGGGAGACCGGGGCUAAUACCGGAUAAUAUUUUGAACUGCAUGGUUCAAUAUUGAAAGGCGGCUUCGGCUGUCACUUAUGGAUGGACCCGCGUCGCAUUAGCUAGUUGGGGAGGUAACGGCUCACCAAGGCAACGAUGCGUAGCCGACCUGAGAGGGUGAUCGGCCACACGUGGACUGGGACACGGCCCAGACUCCUACGGGAGGCAGCAGUAGGGAAUCUUCGGCAAUGGGCGAAAGUCUGACGGAGCAACGCCGCGUGAGUGAGGAAGGCUUUCGGGUCGUAAAACUCUGUUGUUAGGGAAGAACAAGUGCUAGUUGAAUAAGCUGGCACCUUGACGGUACCUAACCAGAAAGCCACGGCUAACUACGUGCCAGCCGCCGCGGUAA
RNAcentral lists this ribosomal RNA (515 nucleotides) under uncultured bacterium. RNAcentral's name for it is "partial 16S ribosomal RNA". It matches the Rfam family "Bacterial small subunit ribosomal RNA", at positions 28 to 523 of the family's 1533-position model. The record is from RNAcentral.